UGGGGAAUAUUGCGCAAUGGGCGAAAGCCUGACGCAGCGACGCCGCGUGCGGGAUGAAGGCCUUCGGGUUGUAAACCGCUUUUAUCGGGGAGCAAGCGAGAGUGAGUGUACCCGUUGAAUAAGCACCGGCUAACUACGUGCCAGCAGCCGCGGUAAUACGUAGGGUGCAAGCGUUAUCCGGAUUUAUUGGGCGUAAAGGGCUCGUAGGCGGUUCGUCGCGUCUGGUGUGAAAGUCCAUCGCUUAACGGUGGAUCUGCGCCGGGUACGGGCGGGCUGGAGUGCGGUAGGGGAGACUGGAAUUCCCGGUGUAACGGUGGAAUGUGUAGAUAUCGGGAAGAACACCAAUGGCGAAGGCAGGUCUCUGGGCCGUUACUGACGCUGAGGAGCGAAAGCGUGGGGAGCGAACAGG
This 409-nucleotide ribosomal RNA is filed under the name uncultured bacterium. Its description in RNAcentral is "bacterial SSU rRNA". It matches the Rfam family "Bacterial small subunit ribosomal RNA", at positions 355 to 776 of the family's 1533-position model. The record is from RNAcentral.